Molecule: non-coding RNA, 68 nt
Organism: Potamilus streckersoni
Lineage: Eukaryota; Metazoa; Mollusca; Bivalvia; Unionida; Unionidae
Source: the annotation of a GenBank genome assembly
GGUGGCCUAGUGGUUAGAGCAUCUGCCUCAGAUGUGGGAGGUCAUGGGUUUGAUCCCCAGGAGGGUCA